GGUGGCACGCAUCAAAGUCGACCAGCACUACUUGGUGGCGGUGAGCACGAUCCUGACCGAACUGGAGAAGUGCGGCGGGAUUGGCGGAGUUGGCGACAGCCAAGACAACAGCAGCCUCACCGUGGCUGCUGCUGCUGGCGGGGGUG
RNAcentral lists this non-coding RNA (146 nucleotides) under uncultured eukaryote. The record is from RNAcentral.